RNAcentral lists this long non-coding RNA (1415 nucleotides) under Nicotiana benthamiana. RNAcentral's name for it is "long non-coding RNA (NBEN_LNC012029)". Lineage: Eukaryota; Viridiplantae; Streptophyta; Magnoliopsida; Solanales; Solanaceae. The record is from RNAcentral.
UUUAAUUGUCAAAUCUGUAAAUAAAAGGUACCCUAACUAACAUUCACAGCCCAUUCCAAACUCAGACCAUAGACGAAUUCAACCCAAAUUACAACUAAUGUGUUUUGUCUCCACUCUCCUUAGUCGACAGCAAGUCGCCGUUGCAGCUGUCGCCGUUUCUGUUGCCACCAUCACCAUCCUUGUAUAGAGGUAUUUAACUCUCCCCUUAGCUCUUCCAUGUUAUUGAAUUAUUACUAAUUUAUUUAAAUCUGAAUUAUUACUAAGUUAUUUGAAUCAGCCAGCUUUGUAAUUCUGCAAACAAAUUUCGUUUAACUUAUUUUUGUAUUCUGAGUUAGUUAAUUGAAUAGUAUAAACAACAUUAUUUUUACUAGGAAUCAUUUUUAUUUCGUCUGUUGAGCCUAGUUUCUUCCAAAAGCAGCCUGCUACCCCAUGGUAGGGUUAAGGUAUGUGUACAAAGUAUACUCCCCAAACUUCACUAAUGUUUUAUGUCAAAUCGGGUAGGGUUAAGGUAUGUACAAACUAUACUCCCCAAACUUCACUAAUGUUUUAUGUCAAAUAUUGCUUUGCCUCUAUGAUGUUCAAGCUUGAGUAAUUCUCUUUGCUAGUUGAAGCAGAUGAAAUUGUGAAUAGUGUUGUCAUUGGAUUCUAAAUAGUUAAAGUGCAAAGCAAAGCUUGGAAUUUAAGUGAAGAAGGGUAGAGGGACGGGCUCAUUAUCCAGUGAGUUUCAAAGGUUGCAGUUAGUCCUAAGGAUCGGCCUCAGACAAAUUUUUCUAUUAUUAAAAAAAAUAGUUAAAGUGCAAUGUAUAUGUAUUACAAUUUGAAAGGCAGUUGAUGUGGUGCUUCAAUUUGUUAUACGCAUGACUUGAGAAUAGACAUUAGGCCCCUUCCACCUUUACAGAAAUUAAGCCAUCAAAUAUCCCUUUGUUUGUGCUAGAAUCAAUAUUUGAAAAAGCAAAAAGGUUGUCCACCUUUACAGAAAUUAAGCCAUCAUCCUUUGUUUGUGCCAGAAUCAAUAUUUGAAAAAGCAAAAAGGUUUGGAAGCCCAUUUUGGACAGAUGAAGCCCCAUUUGGAGAGUUUUUUUUCCUGAUAACCGAGAAAUAUGUCCGGGCAACCCUUAGGACCAUCCGCAAGACGCUCCUAACCUUCUACGCUUAAACACCAAGCUUAGUUCACAUGGCACAGGGCUCGAACCAGUAACCUAAGUCACUAGUUCCUCGACAUUUUCCACUUGGACUAAUCCCUGAGGUUUGCAAUAUUAUAAAAACUGAGAACUGAAAAACCUAACAAAACUUUUCAAAAUUAAGGCCGAAUUGACGGAUGUCCAAUCCUACUGCUAAUGGGCUUUAGGUCAACAUGAAAUAGGAUCAGUGUUGUAUUUAGAAAAGCAGAGAAUCUCAACAUGUAUUGGCUACAC